Molecule: ribosomal RNA, 119 nt
Filed under: Jaculus jaculus (lesser Egyptian jerboa)
Lineage: Eukaryota; Metazoa; Chordata; Mammalia; Rodentia; Dipodidae
Source: RNAcentral
UCUGUCUACGGCCGUAUCACUCUGAAUGCACUUGAGCAUGUCUGAUCACAAAAGUCAAGCAGAGUCCAGCCUGGUGAGUUCUUAGUGAGUACUCACUAAAUUGUCUGGAUUGGAUGGAA